GUGCUCGCUUGGGCAGCACAUACACUAAAAUUGGAACGACGCAGAGAAGAUUAGCAUGGCCCCUGCGCAAGGAAGGGUGACCAGUUUGGCUAAAUGCUAUCUGCCUGC
Prolemur simus (greater bamboo lemur) is the source of this 108-nucleotide small nuclear RNA. The record is from Ensembl. NCBI's taxonomy places the organism in Eukaryota, Metazoa, Chordata, Mammalia, Primates, Lemuridae.